Non-coding RNA from Mycena epipterygia, 91 nucleotides. NCBI's taxonomy places the organism in Eukaryota, Fungi, Basidiomycota, Agaricomycetes, Agaricales, Mycenaceae. The record is from the annotation of a GenBank genome assembly.
GGCUCGGUGGUGGAUGAUCCACACCUGUUUCUUGUGUAGGUGUAGCCACGGGUACAAGCAGGAGGAGCUCGUUCAAUUCGGGCCCGAGCCA